Molecule: ribosomal RNA, 466 nt
Filed under: uncultured bacterium
Lineage: Bacteria
Description: partial 16S ribosomal RNA
Rfam family: Bacterial small subunit ribosomal RNA
Source: RNAcentral
AAUGAACGUUGGCGGCGUGGAUUAGGCAUGCAAGUCGAGCGGAAAGGCCCGCAAGGGCACUCGAGCGGCGUAAGGGACAGUAAUGUGUAGGUACGUACCCCUGGGUCUAGGAUAGCUGCGGGAAACUGCAAUUAAUACUAGAUGAUGUCUUCGGACCAAAGGUGUGAUUCCACCCAGGGAGCGGCCUACAUCCUAUUAGCUAGUUGGUGAGGUGACGGCUCACCAAGGCGAAGAUGGGUAGCAGGUGUGAGAGCACGACCUGCGUCACUGGGACUGAGACACUGCCCAGACACCUACGGGUGGCUGCAGGCGAGAAUCUGCGGCAAUGGGCGAAAGCCUGACCGAGCGACGCCGCGGGCGGGAUGAAGGCCGUCGGGUUGUAAACCGCUGUCGGAGGGGAUGAAAUGCCGAUGGGUACUCCCAACGGCUUGACGGAUCCUCGGAGGAAGGGUGGGCUAAGUUCGUG